This is a long non-coding RNA of Candoia aspera, 1467 nucleotides long. RefSeq lists it as uncharacterized. The transcript is spliced from 3 exons. Lineage: Eukaryota; Metazoa; Chordata; Lepidosauria; Squamata; Candoiidae. The record is from RefSeq and is a predicted model, not a curated record.
CCUUCCUGCCAACUUUCCUUUUUUUCGGAUGCUAUCUUGCUGGUGUCCACUAUCUGGCCGAACUAAGAGCUUGUCCAGUUGACAUGCCAACCUCACACCUGACGCGACGCUUUGCCGCCUGCCGGUAUUCCGCAGAACCCAGAUCACCCUUUGGGAUACUGGGGUGGGAAGAGUCCUGCCUUCAUCGGGUUCAGACUGGAUGACCUCGAAGGCCCCUUCCAUCUCCUGGGGUCUGUGUAACUUUUCAGCUGCGUACCUCCUGCCCAGACGCUGAGCUUUGUUCUGCCUUCUUUUUCUGAGACAGCCCUGGAUUCCAGUGGCAGACGAGGCUGUCAUUUUGGACGCUGUAGUUCUUAUUUCCCAAUAACCAAGCACCCCAAAGGAGUGGCUUUGAUAAAACAGACAUCCUCAUAAUAAGGACGACACAGACCUUCACCUCAAUUUCGCCUCUCGGCUGGAUGUCGUAGGCACCAUCCUCAAGCAGUGCACAGUAGGUGGCUGAGCUGAUGUGUAUUUUCUGGGCUGGAAAGAGAUCACCAAAAAUACUUUUUUAAUGCAGCUUCAAGUCAAAAAGAGAGGAAUGCAAAUUACCUAUAAUCCUUCUGGCCCAGGAUGCCAGGUGAUACUGAAGGUUCAAUCUGGGGCUUUGGGGUGAUAUUAAACCUCCCAGCUGGGACCAUCUUCCUUGUCUGCUAAGGGAAGAUUUCAUUUACCAAGGCAGACUUUGGUCUUCUCACCCAACAUUGCUGGAGAUUUAGAGAGGCGUUUCAUCAGCCCUCCUCAGAAGCUGGACACCAAGCCUGAGGCUUGCAUGAAAAAUAGGAAUUACCCUAAAACUAAACUAAGCUUUUAGUCCUCGUGAUUCUGAAUAAGGAGGAAUAUAGGCAGUUGGACCAGAGAUCGAAGGUAGCCCUAUUUACAUCAGCUCUCCGGGACCUUAGGUCGAACUGAAGCUGCCCUCAAGGUAUGGAUCUGUCCGAGGGAAGCUCGCUACUCACGCAGACUGGUUGACUCCAUGCGGGAGGCCGUGUUCACCGUGUCGCCAAAGAGGCAGUACCGGGGCAUUUUAUGCCCGACAAUGCCGGCCACGCAGGGCCCUGCGGGAAGUGUGGAAAAGAGAGACGUCGAGACAGACGUGGCAAGUGGGUCCACCCUGGUGCAAAGCAAGGGGUGCUGCUGGGUUGGCUCACCUGUGUGAAUCCCAGCCCGUAACUGCAGCUUGCUGGUAGGCAGGUGGGGAAUUGCAACCUGCCGGACCGCUGCUACCAGAUCCAGGGCCAUCUUGGCGAUCUCGUCGGCGUGCCGGGUGCCGUUCCUCUCGGGCAGGCCGCUCACGACCAUGUAGGCAUCGCCAAUGGUUUCCACCUGGUGGCCCCAAGGAAAGCGAGUGCCACUCAGGAUGAAGUUCCUUCAAAUCCAGGGAGGGCGGACGGCCUGCUGCCCACUUCCCAAAACCCGAGAGAAAUG